GACGAACGCUGGCGGCGUGCUUAACACAUGCAAGUCGAACGGAGAGCGAUGGUAGCUUGCUUCUACCGAUCUUAGUGGCGAACGAGUGAGUAACGCGUAAUCAACCCGCCCCUCAGAGGGGGACAACAGAUGGAAACGACUGCUAAUCCCGCAUACGAUCUAAUCUCGGCAUCGAGGAUAGAUGAAAGGUGGCCUCUACAUGUAAGCUAUCACUGAAGGAGGGGAUUGCGUCUGGUUAGGUAGUUGGAGGGGUAACGGCCCACCAAGGCGAUGAUCAGUAGGCGGACCGAGAGGAUGAACGGCCGCAGUGGGAAGGGGACACGGCCCAGACUCCGACGGGAGGCAGCAGUGGGGAUUCUUCCGCAAUGGACGAAAGUGUAACGGAGCAACGCCGCGUGAGCGAUGACGGCCUUCGGGUUGUAAAGCUCUGUUAAUCGGGACGAAAGGCCUUCUUGCGAAUAGUGAGAAGGAUUGACGGUACCGGAAUAGAAAGCCACGGCUAACUACGUG
Molecule: ribosomal RNA, 510 nt
Filed under: uncultured bacterium
Lineage: Bacteria
Description: partial 16S ribosomal RNA
Rfam family: Bacterial small subunit ribosomal RNA
Source: RNAcentral